RNAcentral lists this ribosomal RNA (253 nucleotides) under uncultured bacterium. Its description in RNAcentral is "partial 16S ribosomal RNA". It matches the Rfam family "Bacterial small subunit ribosomal RNA", at positions 524 to 776 of the family's 1533-position model. The record is from RNAcentral.
UACGUAGGGUGCAAGCGUUAAUCGGAAUUACUGGGCGUAAAGCGUGCGCAGGCGGUUUUGUAAGUCUGUCGUGAAAGCCCCGGGCUCAACCUGGGAAUUGCGAUGGAGACUGCAAGGCUUGAAUCUGGCAGAGGGGGGUAGAAUUCAACGUGUAGCAGUGAAAUGCGUAGAGAUGUGGAGGAACACCGAUGGCGAAGGCAGCCCCCUGGGUCAAGAUUGACGCUCAUGCACGAAAGCGUGGGGAGCAAACAGG